RNAcentral lists this long non-coding RNA (2741 nucleotides) under Homo sapiens (human). RNAcentral describes it as "SLC26A5 antisense RNA 1 (SLC26A5-AS1)". The record is from RNAcentral. Lineage: Eukaryota; Metazoa; Chordata; Mammalia; Primates; Hominidae.
GAGGCUUUCUUCACAGCUAGCUGAUCGGAUCCUUGCAGCUGUUUCUUCUGUAGGUCUCGGAGCUCACUGAGAACGUCCAGCACGCCUUCCCGGCGGGGCCCGGCCCAGGUGCGCACUAGAUGAGGCAGUCAACCAAGUCAAUUGGUUCCCGAUCAACUAAAUCUCUCCUAAAAAUAAACACUGCCGCGAGCUUCGAGAGUUCAGCGUGUCAGAGCCUCUAUGAUGGCAGAGCACCUGCCGCGAUGCCUGAUUGGUAGGGAGAAGGAUUUCCCGGGAGGGGGCCAAUACCAAAUUUUAGGGCUGUUAGGCUCUGAGCAGUCCCUUCGUGACCGGAUAAGUCAGAGACCCGGGGUUUGAGCCUUGCCCGGCGCUGAGCGGAGGGCCCAGUUUCGGGACCACAGCCUUGCUCCCUGGGAGCUCCGGGCGGCCAAUGCCGGGCAAGCCCAGCCCGGCACAGGAGGAGGCAGGGCCCGUCUCCGGAAAGAGGGCCAGAGGCAGAACUGAGGGCCUGGUUUUGUGUAAUUCGAUUUGGAUACAAACAGGCCAGACCCAAACUGGAAACGGCGAAGGGCUGGAUUAGCACCGAAGGGAUUCGAGGAGGCAAACGGGAAGUAAAAAUGCUGUGUGGAGCUGCAGAGGGCAAGGGGACAGGGGUUGCAAAGGAAAGAGCUUCGUGAGACUUUCUCCUUCCCGGCGUAGGGACCAGCAGAGUGCGGGCAGGUCAGCCCUGUCACCGGUUCGUUUAGGGAAAAAGCGCGACAUGGGGCCUGGGAGACAGGGGCAGAGGCGGUGACAGCGAGGGCCCCUGCUCGGGUGGGCCCGCGGGCCUCAGCUCAGUCCCCUCCCGAGGGACCGCGACCCCCGGCCCCGCGGCCGCCCGCGCGCACUCACCAGCCCGGGCUGCCCUGGGCGGAGCCGCCCCGCCGCGCUCCACAGCCGCUGCCUCUUCGACGCGCGCGCUGCCUCCAGGUGCGGCUCUAGGAGGAGGCGCCGCGGGCAGUGCCGGCCGCGCCCCGCGACUCCCGGUAACCCGAGCCCGCCCCGCCCCGCUAGGGCCAGGCCCCGCCGCCACCCUCCGCGCUGGGACGCCGGGGCGCGGGCAUCCCUGCCGCCUACGGAUCUCUUCCCAAGCACCUAGAACUUUCCAAAGCGUGCUUGGAAUUUAACACCUUGGUCGUCGAUCCCCGCAAAUAUACUCUGAUGAGACCGGCUUUCUUCCCAUACCGCCCAGGAGUUUCUCCAGGUGGCAUUCCUGUCGCCUUGAGGUGGAACAUCAGUAGAGGCUCGAGGCUGAAGCAAGCACAAUACACAAGAGACUCCGAUUCGUACAGGAACAUUUCGAAAACAGGAAAUCCUGAGGACAAUUAUUUCAUCCUGAGCAGGAACACAUUUACUCUUAUAAAAGUUUCAGCUUGAGAGACAGCUGGCAAGAUGGCUGAAUAGGAACAGCUCCAGUCUGCAGCUCCCAGCAAGAUCAAUGCAGAAGGUCCAAUUCUUUUCUAAAAGUCUUCUGGCUAGUCCCAGCAUUUCCAGGGAAGCUGAACAGGUGCAGCCGGAGGCUUGGAGCCACUAUGGAAGCAGCACAGUUGAUGCCUCAGAGGAUCCAGAGAAAAGACCAGAUAACUAUAAUUCAGCCUUCACCCAUAUUGUGUCUUUUUGAUUUUGUCUGAGUAUAUAUGCCGCACAACAAGCAGCUUAUCUCUGAGAUUCAAAUAGUUACUGCAAUUCCAUUAUCUGUUUUUUUACUGUGAGGGAUUUGGAGCCACAUUUAGUCCUACAUCACAGAUACAGGACUCAAGAGUCAAAGUGCACAGAAAUUUGAAUUCCGAUAAGAAUACUCUGAGCCAGUUUAUUCUGGGGUACAUACUUCAUUUUAUGCUAGAACUCUGCAAUCCUGAUGAAAGAGGGCUUGCAUUGCUCAACUAACUAACUCACCCGUCUCUCCUGCAGUAUUAGAAACUACUUCUGUAUGUACACGUUACAGUUUCUAGGAACUCCAUUUUUGCAAGACAGAUAGGAGCCAGAAAAUUUGUUCCUUCAACUGUAUAUCGCUAAUUAAACAUAAAAUCAAAUCAGCAUUUUAGGUACUUGAAUAACUAGUCUGUGCUUACUUUUAUUCAUAUGGAAGCAGUGUUUAAAUUAUUCUCUGAUUGUAAACUCACUUAUGUAAACCAUUAUACAGGAAAAAAAUGAGUAAUGAAGCAAAGUUCUGAAGCAGAUCUAUGUAAGCAAAUUUCAAUAACCUUCUUAAGAGAAUAUGACACUUAGUAGUGGUGAGGGACAUUUUAAGCUUUUUCUAUUUACAAGUUUUUUUUAAACGAGGGUGUUUCAAAGUAAAUAUUUGCUGUUACGUUAUGCCACAUGAUAUACUAAUAAAUGAAUUAAUGAAAUUAACCUAAAUAUCCAGUAUUAUUAUUGAAUAUAUAGCUACUAAAAUUUUAUAUUCAAAUAUAUCCAAGGACAUGAGGAAAUAAGGAUUUAAUUCUAAACAAAAAAAGAAGCUAUGAAAUAUAUAUAAUUUAAGACUAUAAUUUUGUUAAAAAUAUGUUUAUGUAAAUGCGCUAAAAAAAGUUCUUUAAGAAUAUAUGCCAAAAUAUUGACAAUGGUUAUCCCCUGAGUGAUUUUUAUUUUCAUCCUUAGGAUUUUCUGUAUUUUCUGUUUCACAUUUUGAACAUGUAUACUUUUACAAGAAAAUAUGAACUAAAAUUAAAAAUUUUUAAACUCCAAAAAAAAAAAAAAAA